GAUGAACGCUGGCGGUAUGCUUAACACAUGCAAGUCGAACGGACUCUUCGGAGUUAGUGGCGGACGGGGGAGUAACGCGUGAGAAUCUGGCUUUGGGUUCGGGACAACCACUGGAAACGGUGGCUAAUACCGGAUGUGCCGAGAGGUAAAAGAGAAAUUGCCUGAAGAUGAGCUCGCGUCUGAUUAGAUAGUUGGUGAGGUAAAGGCUCACCAAGGCAGCGAUCAGUAGCAGGUCUGAGAGGAUGACCAGCCACACUGGGACUGAGACACGGCCCAGACUCCUCCGGGAGGCAGCAGUGGGGAAUUUUCCGCAAUGGGCGAAAGCCUGACGGAGCAAUACCGCGUGAGGGAAGAAGGCUCUUGGGUUGUAAACCUCUUUACUUAGGGAAGAACAAAAUGACGGUACCUAAGGAAUCAGCAUCGGCUAACUCCGUG
Molecule: ribosomal RNA, 435 nt
Filed under: uncultured bacterium
Lineage: Bacteria
Description: partial 16S ribosomal RNA
Rfam family: Bacterial small subunit ribosomal RNA
Source: RNAcentral